AUUUCCGAGGGGCGCUGCGACCCUGCUCAAUCAGGGCCAGGCUUGGAAUGCGGGAUGCCCCUGUAGUAACGGCGCUCAUUCAUU
This 84-nucleotide non-coding RNA is filed under the name Candidatus Nitrotoga fabula. Its description in RNAcentral is "SAH_riboswitch". It matches the Rfam family "SAH (S-adenosyl-L-homocysteine) riboswitch aptamer". Lineage: Bacteria; Pseudomonadati; Pseudomonadota; Betaproteobacteria; Nitrosomonadales; Gallionellaceae. The record is from RNAcentral.